ACUGUCCUGAGCGAUCCUGCCCAGCCUCCAUGGACUGCUUUCUCCCGGGUCCCUUUCUUGCUCUGUCCUGAGUUGGGCUGUAGGCCAGCCUGGCACUCCUCAGUCUAACUUGCUGCUUUCACUUGCUAAUUAUUCCAAAUAUUUCAGAAGGUCACACACACUGCAGGACAGGCAGGGUUGGGGCCUUACUGUUUCCCAGAAGUCAGUCCCUGUCCCCUUUACACAGAGAGGACUGCCCCAGCAGGCCUCCACUCCAACAGCUCCUUCUCUCUCCCCACCACCCAUCAUACCCCUACCUUUCCAGGGGCCACGGCCGGCCGGCAUUAAGGGAACAAGGAGAAGGGGAGUCCAGCCUCUUCACUAACACCCAGGAUCAGCCUCCAGCCCUGGCCAAGUUUUCGGCGGACACAACAUCUUUGUAUGUGGUGCUGAGAAUAAAACCCUGGGCCGCAUGCAUGCCAGAGUCAGCAAACGGGCCUUUUACCUAUUUGUACGCUGACCACAAGGUCUCCAGAGUGGAGCUGUGCCCAGCUCAGCUAUCCUUACCAGGCCCCACUCCACUGUGCACCAGGACAGAGCAGGGCCCUGAGAUUGCUGAGCCUGGUACUUCAGACCCCUGGCAGCCCAGGUUCAUGUGGCCAGUGUCCAACA
Molecule: non-coding RNA, 651 nt
Organism: Ictidomys tridecemlineatus (thirteen-lined ground squirrel)
Lineage: Eukaryota; Metazoa; Chordata; Mammalia; Rodentia; Sciuridae
Source: RefSeq, a predicted model, not a curated record